RNAcentral lists this transfer RNA (68 nucleotides) under Ruidocollaris obscura. RNAcentral's name for it is "tRNA-Val". Lineage: Eukaryota; Metazoa; Arthropoda; Insecta; Orthoptera; Tettigoniidae. The record is from RNAcentral.
CAAAAUAAAGCUUAAAGUAAGUAUUUCAUUUACAUUGAGAUGACUCUGUGCGAUUCAGAUUAUUUUGA